This 253-nucleotide long non-coding RNA is filed under the name Nicotiana benthamiana. RNAcentral's name for it is "long non-coding RNA (NBEN_LNC023940)". The record is from RNAcentral. Lineage: Eukaryota; Viridiplantae; Streptophyta; Magnoliopsida; Solanales; Solanaceae.
UCUUCGUUCUUUGUUUAAUAGCAAGUCGAAGAGCAAAAAGUCCUUCAGCUGCCUUGUAAGUAGCAAGCUGAUCUACUAUCUUCUUUUGCAAAUCUUCAUCUGGGUUCAACUUGAUAACAACCUGAUGGAAUCUUGUCCACAGUUCUUUAGCCAAUGAAUUCUUCUCUUGCUGCUCAAAAAAGAGUGAUGGGUUUAGAAUAAGUCCAGCCGCAUGCAAAGGUUUAUGAAGUUGCUCAUUCCAUCUUGCAUCAAU